This 434-nucleotide long non-coding RNA is filed under the name Monodelphis domestica (gray short-tailed opossum). RNAcentral describes it as "lncRNA (ENSMODG00000036193.2)". The record is from RNAcentral. Lineage: Eukaryota; Metazoa; Chordata; Mammalia; Didelphimorphia; Didelphidae.
CACACAGUAAAGGAGAGCGUUGACUAAUGAACCAGAUGGGGCAAAACUUCCAUGUUCCCAAAGAGCAAUGAGAAUCAUUGAACUCCAGUGGCAAGACAAAAGUCAGAAUGACUGGCACUGGCUCAGGAUGCAGUGGAUAUGACCUUUGAUGUCUGACCAAGCUUUAAGCACUCUACAGAGCCUGCUUCAACUGCCUCCAUGGCCACUGGAACAAAUUGUUUUUAUCUGCCCAUUCCACUGGAGAAAGCCUUUAGCAAAACAAGGAGCAAGGGGUGCUUAGAAAGUGCCGAGAAUCAAAUCAGACCGUGUCAGAGCUAUCCAAAAGCGGAAUGAAGUAAUGGACAGUGGCUCCACAGAGGGCUGAAUGCAAGAGGAUGGACUCCAAGUUACAGGGUAUGAUAAGAUGGGGUUUGGGGGGAAGGAAUAGGAGUUGG